UACGGAGGAUGCAAGCGUUAUCCGGAUUUAUUGGGUUUAAAGGGUGCGUAGGCGGACGCUUAAGUCAGCGGUAAAAUUGCGGGGCUCAACCUCGUCGAGCCGUUGAAACUGGGUGCCUUGAGUGGGCGAGAAGUACGCGGAAUGCGUGGUGUAGCGGUGAAAUGCAUAGAUAUCACGCAGAACUCCGAUUGCGAAGGCAGCGUACCGGCGCCCAACUGACGCUGAAGCACGAAGGCGUGGGUAUCGAACAGG
This 252-nucleotide ribosomal RNA is filed under the name uncultured bacterium. RNAcentral's name for it is "partial 16S ribosomal RNA". It matches the Rfam family "Bacterial small subunit ribosomal RNA", at positions 524 to 776 of the family's 1533-position model. The record is from RNAcentral.